GAUGAACGCUGGCGGCGUGCCUAAUACAUGCAAGUCGAGCGAACGGACGAGAAGCUUGCUUUUCUGAUGUUAGCGGCGGACGGGUGAGUAACACGUGGAUAACCUACCUAUAAGGCUGGGAUAACUUCGGGAAACCGGAGCUAAUACCGGAUAAUAUUUUGAACCGCAUGGUUCAAAAGUGAAAGACGGUCUUGCUGUCACUUAUAGAUGGAUCCGCGCUGCAUUAGCUAGUUGGUAAGGUAACGGCUUACCAAGGCAACGAUGCAUAGCCGACCUGAGAGGGUGAUCGGCCACACUGGAACUGAGACACGGUCCAGACUCCUACGGGAGGCAGCAGUAGGGAAUCUUCCGCAAUGGGCGAAAGCCUGACGGAGCAACGCCGCGUGAGUGAUGAAGGUCUUCGGAUCGUAAAACUCUGUUAUUAGGGAAGAACAUAUGUGUAAGUAACUGUGCACAUCUUGACGGUACCUAAUCAGAAAGCCACGGCUAGCUACGUG
This 497-nucleotide ribosomal RNA is filed under the name uncultured bacterium. Its description in RNAcentral is "partial 16S ribosomal RNA". It matches the Rfam family "Bacterial small subunit ribosomal RNA", at positions 28 to 507 of the family's 1533-position model. The record is from RNAcentral.